Molecule: ribosomal RNA, 497 nt
Filed under: uncultured bacterium
Lineage: Bacteria
Description: partial 16S ribosomal RNA
Rfam family: Bacterial small subunit ribosomal RNA
Source: RNAcentral
GAUGAACGCUGGCGGCGUGCCUAAUACAUGCAAGUAGAACGCUGAAGGAAGGAGCUUGCUCUUUCCGGAUGAGUUGCGAACGGGUGAGUAACGCGUAGGUAACCUGCCUGGUAGCGGGGGAUAACUAUUGGAAACGAUAGCUAAUACCGCAUAACAGUAGAUGUUGCAUGACAACUAUUUGAAAGGGGCAAUUGCUCCACUACCGGAUGGACCUGCGUUGUAUUAGCUAGUUGGUGAGGUAACGGCUCACCAAGGCGACGAUACAUAGCCGACCUGAGAGGGUGAUCGGCCACACUGGGACUGAGACACGGCCCAGACUCCUACGGGAGGCAGCAGUAGGGAAUCUUCGGCAAUGGACGGAAGUCUGACCGAGCAACGCCGCGUGAGUGAAGAAGGUUUUCGGAUCGUAAAGCUCUGUUGUAAGAGAAGAACGAGUGUGAGAGUGGAAAGUUCACACUGUGACGGUAUCUUACCAGAAAGGGACGGCUAACUACGUG